UCGCCUGUUUUUACAAAAACAUCGCCUCCUGCAACUAUUUACAUAUAGGAGGUCCAGCCUGCCCAGUGACUAUAAGUUUAACGGCCGCGGUAUUUUGACCGUGCAAAGGUAGCGCAAUCACUUGUCUUUUAAAUAGAGACCUGUAUGAAUGGCCAAACGAGGGCUUAWCUGUCUCCCCCUUCCAGUCAGUGAAAUUGAUCUAUCCGUGCAGAAGCGGGUAUAAAUAUACAAGACGAGAAGACCCUUUGGAGCUUAAGGUACAAAGUUUAACCAUGUUAAACAACUUAUUAAAGAGCAAAAACUUAAUGGAAAAUAAACAUUUACCUUCGGUUGGGGCGACCGCGGAGGAAAAAUCAGCCUCCGAGUGGAACGGGCUAAAUACCUAAAACCAAGAGAGACAUCUSUAAGCCACAGAAAAUCUGACCAAAAAUGAUCCGACACAUAGUCGAUCAACGAACCAAGUUACCCUAGGGAUAACAGCGCAAUCCUCUCCCAGAGUCCAUAUCGACGAGGGGGYUUACGACCUCGAUGUUGGAUCAGGACAUCCUAAUGGUGCAGCCGCUAUUAAGGGUUCGUUUGUUCAACGAUUAAAGUCCUACGUGAUCUGAUUUCAGACCGG
RNAcentral lists this ribosomal RNA (619 nucleotides) under Pseudorasbora parva (stone moroko). RNAcentral's name for it is "partial 16S ribosomal RNA". It matches the Rfam family "Bacterial large subunit ribosomal RNA", at positions 1796 to 2619 of the family's 2925-position model. The record is from RNAcentral. Lineage: Eukaryota; Metazoa; Chordata; Actinopteri; Cypriniformes; Gobionidae.